CCUACGGGUGGCAGCAGUUGGGAAUCUUGCACAAUGGGGGAAACCCUGAUGCAGCGACGCCGCGUGGAGGAUGAAGGGUCUAGGCCUGUAAACUCCUUUUACCAGGAAAACGGUACCUGGGGAAUAAGGACCGGCUAACUACGUGCCAGCAGCCGCGGUAAGACGUAGGGUCCAAGCGUUGUCCGGAUUUACUGGGCGUAAAGAGCGCGUAGGCGGUCCGUUAAGUGUAGAGUGAAAGCUCCGGGCUCAACCCGGAAAUUGCUCUGCAUACUGGCGGACUUGAGGAUGGAAGAGGUUUGUGGAAUUCCUGGUGUAGCGGUGAAAUGCGUAGAUAUCAGGAGGAACACCCAUGGCGAAGGCAGCAAACUGGCCUAUCUGACGCUGAGGCGCGAAAGCGUGGGUAGCAAACAGGAUUAGAUACCCUUGUAGUC
This 431-nucleotide ribosomal RNA is filed under the name uncultured bacterium. Its description in RNAcentral is "partial 16S ribosomal RNA". It matches the Rfam family "Bacterial small subunit ribosomal RNA", at positions 338 to 795 of the family's 1533-position model. The record is from RNAcentral.